GAAACGGAGAGACUAACAGGAUUCCCCUAGUAACUGCGAGUGAAGCGGGAAAAGCUCAAAUUUAAAAUCUGGCAGUCUCUGGCUGUCCGAGUUGUAAUCUAGAGAAGUAAUGCCCGUGCUGGACCGUGUAUAAGUCUCCUGGGAUGGGGCGUCAUAGAGGGUGAGAAUCCCGUCUUUGACACGGACUACCAGUGCAUUGUGGUAUGCUCUCAAAGAGUCGAGUUGUUUGGGAAUGCAGCUCAAAAUGGGUGGUAAAUUCCAUCUAAAGCUAAAUAUUGGCGAGAGACCGAUAGCGAACAAGUACCGUGAGGGAAAGAUGAAAAGAACUUUGGAAAGAGAGUUAAACAGUACGUGAAAUUGCUGAAAGGGAAACGCUUGAAGUCAGUCGCGUUGGCCGGGAAUCAGCCUUGCUUUUGCAUGGUGUACUUUCUGGUUGACGGGUCAGCAUCAAUUUYGAUCGCUGGAAAAAGGCCUGGGGAAUGUGGCAGCUUCGGCUGUGUUAUAGCCCCUAGUCGCAUACAGUGGUUGGGAUUGAGGAACUCAGCACGCCGCAAGGCCGGGUUUCGACCACGUUCGUGCUUAGGAUGCUGGCAUAAUGGCUUUAAGCGACCCGUCUUGAAACACGGACCAAGGAGUCUAACAUGCCUGCGAGUAUUUGGGUGGAAAACUCAAGUGCGUAAUGAAAGUGAAAGUUGAGAUCCCUGUCGUGGGGAGCAUCGACGCCCGGACCAGAACUUUUGGGACGGAUCCGCGGUGGAGCAUGUAUGUUGGGACCCGAAAGAUGGUGAACUAUGCCUGAAUAGGGUGAAGCCAGAGGAAACUCUGGUGGAGGCUCGUAGCGAUUCUGACGUGCAAAUCGAUCGUCAAAUUUGGGUAUAGGGGCGAAAGACUAAUCGAUCCUCUAUUGCCCU
RNAcentral lists this ribosomal RNA (911 nucleotides) under Agaricus sp. Its description in RNAcentral is "LSU rRNA". It matches the Rfam family "Eukaryotic large subunit ribosomal RNA", at positions 53 to 952 of the family's 3401-position model. The record is from RNAcentral. Lineage: Eukaryota; Fungi; Basidiomycota; Agaricomycetes; Agaricales; Agaricaceae.